GCUAAAAAACUGGAGUGGUUGUAUUCUUAUAUGAUCCGUUUACGGUUGCCCGGAGGUUUUUUGACACCGGAGCAAUGGAUAGGAUUGCAUCAUAUUGCCGGCGAACAUUCAACAGGUACUAUAAAAAUUACAACCCGGCAAACGGUACAAUUGCACGGAAUCUUAAAAUC
RNAcentral lists this unclassified non-coding RNA (170 nucleotides) under uncultured fungus. Its description in RNAcentral is "sequence contains ITS1". Lineage: Eukaryota; Fungi. The record is from RNAcentral.